UACGGGGGGGGCAAGCGUUGUUCGGAAUUACUGGGCGUAAAGGGCUCGUAGGCGGCCAACUAAGUCAGACGUGAAAUCCCUCGGCUUAACCGGGGAACUGCGUCUGAUACUGGUUGGCUUGAGUGUGGGAGAGGGAUGCGGAAUUCCAGGUGUAGCGGUGAAAUGCGCAGAUAUCGGGAAGAACACCCGUGGCGAAGGCGGCUCUCUGGAACGCAACUGACGCUGAGACGCGAAAGCGUGGGGAGCAAACAGG
RNAcentral lists this ribosomal RNA (253 nucleotides) under uncultured bacterium. RNAcentral's name for it is "partial 16S ribosomal RNA". It matches the Rfam family "Bacterial small subunit ribosomal RNA", at positions 524 to 776 of the family's 1533-position model. The record is from RNAcentral.